GGACGGNGCUAGCGUUGUUCGGAAUUACUGGGCGUAAAGGGCGCGUAGGCGGCGCGAUAAGUUGGGCGUGAAAGGCCCGGGCUCAACCCGGGGACUGCGCUUGAUACUGUCGCGCUGUGAGUCCGGGAGAGGAUGGCGGAAUUCCCAGUGUAGAGGUGAAAUUCGUAGAUAUUGGGAAGAACACCGGUGGCGAAGGCGGCCAUCUGGACCGGCACUGACGCUGAGGCGCGAAAGCGUGGGGAGCAAACAGGAUUAGAUACCCUGGUAGUCCACGCCGUAAACGAUGCGUGCUAGACGUUGGGGGGCUUGCCCUUCGGUGUCGUCGCUAACGCAUGAAGCACGCCGCCUGGGGAGUACGGUCGCAAGAUUA
Molecule: ribosomal RNA, 370 nt
Filed under: uncultured bacterium
Lineage: Bacteria
Description: bacterial SSU rRNA
Rfam family: Bacterial small subunit ribosomal RNA
Source: RNAcentral